CAUGGCUCAGGAUGAACGCUAGCGGCAGGCUUAACACAUGCAAGUCGAGGGGCAGCGCGGGGUAGCAAUACCCUGGCGGCGACCGGCGAAAGGGUGAGUAACGCGUGAGCAACGUGCCCGUAUGUGGGGGAUAGUCGAUGGAAACGUCGCGUAAUACCCCGUAACACACUUCCCCGCAUGAGGAGGUGUUGAAAGAUUUAUUGCAUACGGAUCGGCUCGCGUGCCAUUAGGUAGACGGCGGGGUAACGGCCCACCGUGCCGACGAUGGCUAGGGGUUCUGAGAGGAAGGUCCCCCACAUUGGAACUGAGACACGGUCCAGACUCCUACGGGAGGCAGCAGUGAGGAAUAUUGGACAAUGGCCGGAAGGCUGAUCCAGCCAUGCCGCGUGCGGGAGGACGGCCCUAUGGGUUGUAAACCGCUUUUGCGAGGGAGCAAUAAGAGUCACGUGUGGCUCGAUGAGAGUACCUCGCGAAUAAGCAUCGGCUAACUCCGUGCCAGCAGCCGCGGUAAUACGGAGGAUGCAAGCGUUAUCCGGAUUUAUUGGGUUUAAAGGGUGCGUAGGCGGUUUGCUAAGCGGGAGGUGAAAUGCCGGCGCUCAACGUCGGAAGUGCCUCCCGAACUGGUGGACUUGAAUGACUCUGCCGUGGGAGGAAUGUGUAGUGUAGCGGUGAAAUGCUUAGAGAUUACACAGAACACCGAUUGCGAAGGCAUCUCACGAA
RNAcentral lists this ribosomal RNA (720 nucleotides) under Bacteroidetes bacterium G33. RNAcentral's name for it is "bacterial SSU rRNA". It matches the Rfam family "Bacterial small subunit ribosomal RNA", at positions 18 to 732 of the family's 1533-position model. Lineage: Bacteria; Pseudomonadati; Bacteroidota. The record is from RNAcentral.